GAAUUCCUGAGGUGUGCGCGAGUCUCCAGUUUUUACCCACAUUUUCACAACCGGAGUCUGCGUCGGCGCAUGGAUGUCAUGCCCCCGUGUUAUCACGCCAGGGGACGGCAGCAAGUGAGCCGCAGGGCACCGACCUGCCGAGCGGCGGGUGAAAAAACGGCGACGGACGGCACUUUGGGAUUUUC
This 185-nucleotide non-coding RNA is filed under the name Candidatus Onthenecus intestinigallinarum. RNAcentral's name for it is "6S RNA". It matches the Rfam family "6S / SsrS RNA". Rfam says of the family: E. coli 6S RNA was the first non coding RNA to be sequenced, but its function was unknown until recently. It consists of 184 nucleotides that fold into an extended hairpin structure with a large single-stranded internal bulge. The 6S RNA specifically associates with RNA polymerase holoenzyme containing the sigma70 specificity factor. The record is from RNAcentral. Lineage: Bacteria; Bacillati; Bacillota; Clostridia; Eubacteriales.